GUGCUUGCUUCCGCAGCACAUAUUCUAAAAUUGGAACGAUACAGAGAUGAUUAGCAUGGCCCCUGCGCAAGGAUGAUAAUAAAUUUAAAGCCUUGUGAAUAAAUGUG
Small nuclear RNA from Nyctereutes procyonoides (raccoon dog), 107 nucleotides. Lineage: Eukaryota; Metazoa; Chordata; Mammalia; Carnivora; Canidae. The record is from RefSeq and is a predicted model, not a curated record.